CAAGAGCCCACGCUCUUUCAAUCUUUUCUCUCCGUCUCAUUCAUUCAGUUUUAUUUCCCUGUCAACUUCAGAACCGAUCAAUCACAUUGAUCAGUCAGUCACAAUGAAGGCCAAUAUCACCCUGGCUCUGAGCAUGCUCUCUCUGGUCCUCUUGAUCUUCAUCCAUGAAGCCACGCCUGACUCUAAUGGAACUUUGAACGAUGACACACAAACUGAAAAGACGAGCGCGAGAGAUGGACUUUUAAAUGAUACCGGGAACUCCCCUGACCAAUCCACACCUGAGAAGCAUGACAGAGGAAUGCAUGGUAAUCAUUCUGGCAUGACAAUAGCCCCCCCGAAUGGUACACCCACAUCCACAGAGAGUCAGACAUCUGCAACAUCAGGAAGCACAACCCAGCAGACUGAAAAGACCACAUCCCCCCCACUCACUAAACAGACAAUCCCUACGUCUCUUCCCAAGACCUCCCCACCACCUCAACCCCUCCAUCCAGUACUAAACCCCAACCUGUUCCGUUAAAGAAGGGGUUCAUUGUGGUCCUGGUUGUGGUCAUUAUUCUUCUCGCACUGAUUACCGUGCUGUGCUUCUACAAGUGGAACACCCGCCACUCAGGCCAGGACAGCUCCGCCCCUCGGCUGUUAUUGGGCGUCAGGGAGCGCAUGAGGGGCAGGGUUAGAAGCCUGGAGGAUUGGCUGGGGCUCAGCCUCUGGCCCGGGAAGAGCGAGUGAGAGGGGGACAGGAUGAAGGAGAUUCCUCAGACUACUCCAGUUUAGACGGGAUUGACCUCAGCAAGAGAGCCAAGAACCUAGAGGAUGAUGAGAAAAAGGAGGAGGCUGUGAAGGGGAAGAGUGGGGGCGAGGGAGGCCAGGAUAACAUGAAAGGAGAGAGGACUGAUGGAAGGAAGGAGGGUGGUGAAGAGCGAACAGGGGAAAUCUCCGGUGAGGGAGAUACUUGUGACCUCACAGCACUGUAAGGAAACAGGGAGGAAGGGGUUAAGAGUGGGAUAAAAUAAGAUAAUUGUUUAAUUGUGACACAAUUCACUCUUCCUAUGGAGUAUAUUUUUUCAUUUAAGCGUGUCAAUGUCAGCCAAAUAUAUAGUUUUUGGUAAUCUCUGUUACAUGUGUUUUAAUAA
RNAcentral lists this long non-coding RNA (1130 nucleotides) under Salmo salar (Atlantic salmon). RNAcentral's name for it is "lncRNA (ENSSSAG00000082347.1)". The record is from RNAcentral. Lineage: Eukaryota; Metazoa; Chordata; Actinopteri; Salmoniformes; Salmonidae.